AAUCACUUGUCUUUUAAAUGGAGACCCGUAUGAAAGGUAUAACGAGGGCUUAACUGUCUCCUCUUUCCAGUCAAUGAAAUUGAUCUUCCCGUGCAGAAGCGGGAAUUCUAACAUAAGACGAGAAGACCCUGUGGAGCUUAAGACCUAAGCGUAGCCCACAUGCAAAGCCCCAUGACCAGCGGGGUUAGCCAAGUGAACACUGCACUCGUGUCUUCGGUUGGGGUGACCACGGGGUAAACACAACCCCCGUGUGGACAGGGAGCACUAGCGGCCAAUCACCACUAACCCACAACUCCACUCCUCAAAACAAGAGCGCCAGCUCUAGUUAACGAAACUUUCGACUUAAAAUGAUCCGGAAUAACCGAUCAACGAACCAAGUUACCCCAGGGAUAACAGCGCAAUCCCCUUCAAGAGCCCGUAUCGCCAAGGGGGUUUACGACCUCGAUGUUGGAUCAGGACAUCCUAAUGGUGCAGCUGCUAUUAAGGGUUCGUUUGUUCAACGAUUAA
Molecule: ribosomal RNA, 507 nt
Filed under: Parabothus taiwanensis (Taiwanese flounder)
Lineage: Eukaryota; Metazoa; Chordata; Actinopteri; Pleuronectiformes; Bothidae
Description: partial 16S ribosomal RNA
Rfam family: Bacterial large subunit ribosomal RNA
Source: RNAcentral